GUGGGGAAUAUUGGACAAUGGGCGCAAGCCUGAUCCAGCAAUGCCGCGUGGAUGAAGAAGGUUUUCGGAUUGUAAAGUCCUUUCGGCGGGGACGAUGAUGACGGUACCCGCAGAAGAAGCCCCGGCUAACUUCGUGCCAGCAGCCGCGGUAAUACGAAGGGGGCUAGCGUUGCUCGGAAUGACUGGGCGUAAAGGGCGCGUAGGCGGAUGGCUUUGUCAGACGUGAAAUUCCAGGGCUUAACCUUGGGGCUGCGUUUGAGACGGGUUGUCUUGAGUUCGGAAGAGGGUCGUGGAAUUCCCAGUGUAGAGGUGAAAUUCGUAGAUAUUGGGAAGAACACCGGUGGCGAAGGCGGCGACCUGGUCCGAGACUGACGCUGAGGCGCGAAAGCGUGGGGAGCAAACAGG
Molecule: ribosomal RNA, 405 nt
Filed under: uncultured Acidiphilium sp.
Lineage: Bacteria; Pseudomonadati; Pseudomonadota; Alphaproteobacteria; Acetobacterales; Acidocellaceae
Description: bacterial SSU rRNA
Rfam family: Bacterial small subunit ribosomal RNA
Source: RNAcentral